Molecule: ribosomal RNA, 569 nt
Filed under: Suhomyces bribrorum
Lineage: Eukaryota; Fungi; Ascomycota; Pichiomycetes; Serinales; Debaryomycetaceae
Description: eukaryotic LSU rRNA
Rfam family: Eukaryotic large subunit ribosomal RNA
Source: RNAcentral
AUAUCAAUAAGCGGAGGAAAAGAAACCAACCGGGAUUGCCUCAGUAACGGCGAGUGAAGCGGCAAAAGCUCAAAUUUGAAAUCUGGCCUUGUGGUCCGAAUUGUAAUUUGAAGAAGCGACUUUGGGCCUGGCUCUUGUCUAUGUUCCUUGGAACAGGACGUCACAGAGGGUGAGAAUCCCGUGCGAUGAGAAGACCAGGUUCGUGUAAAGCGUUUUCGACGAGUCGAGUUGUUUGGGAAUGCAGCUCUAAGUGGGUGGUAAAUUCCAUCUAAAGCUAAAUAUUGGCGAGAGACCGAUAGCGAACAAGUACAGUGAUGGAAAGAUGAAAAGAACUUUGAAAAGAGAGUGAAAAAGUACGUGAAAUUGUUGAAAGGGAAGGGCUUGAGAUCAGACUUUGUUUUUCCAUGGCGCUCUUUCGGGGGUGUCCUCUGGGGCUACAGGGCCAGCAUGGGUUUUGCGGGCGAGACGAGGUUUCCGGGAAUGUGGCUCUGCUUCGGUGGAGUGUUAUAGCCCGGGGGACUGGUCGCCAUGCGGGACCGAGGACUGCGGUACUAGGAUGCUGGCAUAAU